UACAGAGGUGGCAAGCGUUGUUCGGAAUUACUGGGCGUAAAGGGCGCGUAGGCGGCCUUCUAAGUCAGACGUGAAAUCCCCCGGCUUAACCUGGGAACUGCGUCUGAUACUGGAAGUCUUGAGUCCGGGAGAGGUGAGUGGAACUCCGAGUGUAGAGGUGAAAUUCGUAGAUAUUCGGAAGAACACCAGUGGCGAAGGCGGCUCACUGGCCCGGUACUGACGCUGAGAUACGAAAGCGUGGGGAGCAAACAGG
Molecule: ribosomal RNA, 253 nt
Filed under: uncultured bacterium
Lineage: Bacteria
Description: partial 16S ribosomal RNA
Rfam family: Bacterial small subunit ribosomal RNA
Source: RNAcentral